This 495-nucleotide ribosomal RNA is filed under the name uncultured bacterium. RNAcentral describes it as "SSU rRNA". It matches the Rfam family "Bacterial small subunit ribosomal RNA", at positions 26 to 518 of the family's 1533-position model. The record is from RNAcentral.
AGAUUGAACGCUGGCGGCGUGCCUAACACAUGCAAGUCGAGCGGUAACAGGUGUAGCAAUACAUGCUGACGAGCGGCGAACGGGUGAGUAAUGCUUUGGAAUCUUCCCAGUAGUGGGGAAUAACCAGUCGAAAGAUUGGCUAAUACCGCAUACGUCUGUAAAGGGAAAGCGGGGGCUCGUAAGACCUCGCGCUAUUGGAUGAGCCAAAGUCGGAUUAGCUUGUUGGUGGGUAAUGGCCUACCAAGGCGACAAUCCGUAGCUGGUCUGAGAGGACGACCAGCCACACCGGAACUGAGACACGGUCCGGACUCCUACGGGAGGCAGCAGUGGGGAAUAUUGGACAAUGGGGGAAACCCUGAUCCAGCGACGCCGCGUGUGUGAAGAGGCCUGCGGGUUGUAAAGCACUUUUAGUGGGGACAAAAGCUACGGAUUAAUACUCUGUGGUCUUGAUUUAACCCAAAGAAAAGCACCGGCUAACUCUGUGCCAGCAGCCGC